Molecule: non-coding RNA, 947 nt
Filed under: Tanea lineata
Lineage: Eukaryota; Metazoa; Mollusca; Gastropoda; Littorinimorpha; Naticidae
Description: 12S ribosomal RNA
Rfam family: Microsporidia small subunit ribosomal RNA (bases 529-943)
Source: RNAcentral
UUUAUUUUUAACAAAUACGCUUUCUAAAAAUACAAUCAUUUUUUAAAAAACAGAUUUAUAAAUUUUCAUAAGUGAGGCUUGGCUCUGACUUAAUAACAUAAUAAUAGCAAAAAAAUACACAUGGUUUUUAUGGAUAGCGGUGAGGUUAAAAAUUUAAUAACAUUUAUUAAAAAAAUUAGUGUUAUUAAGUUUUUACAGUAUUAUAUUUGAAAUGACACUAAGAUUGUACCACUAUACACCAGUGUUAAACAUUAAGAAAGAAGCGAAAGCUUGCAUUAGAUGAGCUAAGAGAUUUGGUUAACUUGGUGCCAGCAUCCGCGGUUAGACCAAGAAAUCAAGUUAUGUAAAAUAGGUAAAAAGAUAGUUAGAUAAGAUAAGAAAGUUUUAAGACUCUUUGUUUAAAAGUAAAAUUUGAAUAUAAAGAAGUAUUUUAAUUAAAACUAAUAUAUUGAAGCUAUGAUAUUUUAGAUAAAAACUAGGAUUAGAUGCCCUAUUAUUCUAAACUUUAAAUUGAUUAUUUAUCUACCUGAGUACUACGAGUCCAAAAACUUAAAACUCAAAGAGCUUGGCGGUACUCCACACCUUUCAGGGGAACCUGUCUCAUAAUCGACAAUCCACGUGAAACCUUACCUUUUCUUGUUUAAUCAGUUUGUAUACCGUCGUCGUCCAGGCAACUUUUUAAAAUAUAGAAGUUGACAAAAGAGAGUUUUUAAUCUUAGACGUCAGAUCAAGGUGCAGCCUAUGAAGAGGAGAGGAUGGGUUACAAUUAAAAUUUAUAAUUACGAAUUAGAAUAUUGAAUAAUCUAACGAAGGAGGACUUGAAAGUAAAAAUUCUUAUAUAAAUUUUUUGAAUUUGGCUCUGGAGUGUGCACACAUCGCCCGUCGCUCUCGUUGAAAAAUGAGAUAAGUCGUAACAUAGUAGGGGUAAUGGAAAUUGUCCCUGGAUG